GAUGAACGCUGGCGGCGUGCCUAAUACAUGCAAGUCGAGCGAACAGACGAGGAGCUUGCUCCUCUGACGUUAGUGGCGGACGGGUGAGUAACACGUGGAUAACCUACCUAUAAGACUGGGAUAACUUCGGGAAACCGGAGCUACUACCGGAUAAUAUAUUGAACCGCAUGGUUCAAUAGUGAAAUACGGUUUUGCUGUCACUUAUAGAUGGAUCCGCGCCGCAUUAGCUAGUUGGUAAGGUAACGGCUUACCAAGGCAACGAUGCGUAGCCGACCUGAGAGGGUGAUCGGCCACACUGGAACUGAGACACGGUCCAGACUCCUACGGGAGGCAGCAGUAGGGAAUCUUCCGCAAUGGGCGAAAGCCUGACGGAGCAACGCCGCGUGAGUGAUGAAGGUCUUCGGAUCGUAAAACUCUGUUAUUAGGGAAGAACAAAUGUGUAAGUAACUAUGCACGUCUUGACGGUACCUAAUCAGAAAGCCACGGCUAACUACGUG
RNAcentral lists this ribosomal RNA (497 nucleotides) under uncultured bacterium. RNAcentral's name for it is "partial 16S ribosomal RNA". It matches the Rfam family "Bacterial small subunit ribosomal RNA", at positions 28 to 507 of the family's 1533-position model. The record is from RNAcentral.